UGACGCAGCAACGCCGCGUGAAGGAUGAAGGUUUUCGGAUUGUAAACUUCUUUUCUUAAGGACGAAAUUUGACGGUACUUAAGGAAUAAGCUCCGGCUAACUACGUGCC
RNAcentral lists this ribosomal RNA (109 nucleotides) under uncultured bacterium. RNAcentral describes it as "partial 16S ribosomal RNA". It matches the Rfam family "Bacterial small subunit ribosomal RNA", at positions 384 to 509 of the family's 1533-position model. The record is from RNAcentral.